Molecule: ribosomal RNA, 761 nt
Filed under: uncultured bacterium
Lineage: Bacteria
Description: bacterial SSU rRNA
Rfam family: Bacterial small subunit ribosomal RNA
Source: RNAcentral
UCUGGAAACUNUCUGACUUGAGUGCAGAAGGGGAGAGUGGAAUUCCAUGUGUAGCGGUGAAAUGCGUAGAUAUAUGGAGGAACACCAGUGGCGAAAGCGGCUCUCUGGUCUGUCACUGACGCUGAGGCUCGAAAGCGUGGGUAGCGAACAGGAUUAGAUACCCUGGUAGUNCACGCCGUAAACGAUGAGUGCUAGGUGUUAGGCCCUUUCCGGGGCUUAGUGCCGGAGCUAACGCAAUAAGCACUCCGCCUGGGGAGUACGACCGCAAGGUUGAAACUCAAAGGAAUUGACGGGGGCCCGCACAAGCGGUGGAGCAUGUGGUUUAAUUCGAAGCAACGCGAAGAACCUUACCAGGUCUUGACAUCCCGAUGCUAUUCUUAGAGAUAGGAAGUUACUUCGGUACAUCGGAGACAGGUGGUGCAUGGUUGUCGUCAGCUCGUGUCGUGAGAUGUUGGGUUAAGUCCCGCAACGAGCGCAACCCUUAUUGUUAGUUGCCAUCAUUAAGUUGGGCACUCUAGCGAGACUGCCGGUAAUAAACCGGAGGAAGGUGGGGAUGACGUCAAAUCAUCAUGCCCCUUAUGACCUGGGCUACACACGUGCUACAAUGGUCGGUACAACGAGUUGCGAGCCGGUGACGGCAAGCUAAUCUCUGAAAGCCGAUCUCAGUUCGGAUUGGAGGCUGCAACUCGCCUCCAUGAAGUCGGAAUCGCUAGUAAUCGCGGAUCAGCACGCCGCGGUGAAUACGUUCCCGGGCCUUGUAC